CCUACGGGAGGCAGCAGUGGGGAAUUUUGGACAAUGGGCGCAAGCCUGAUCCAGCAAUGCCGCGUGCAGGAUGAAGGCCUUCGGGUUGUAAACUGCUUUUGUACGGAACGAAACGGUGAGCUCUAAUAAAGUUUGCUAAUGACGGUACCGUAAGAAUAAGCACCGGCUAACUACGUGCCAGCAGCCGCGGUAAUACGUAGGGUGCGAGCGUUAAUCGGAAUUACUGGGCGUAAAGCGUGCGCAGGCGGUUAUAUAAGACAGAUGUGAAAUCCCCGGGCUCAACCUGGGACCUGCAUUUGUGACUGUAUAGCUAGAGUACGGUAGAGGGGGAUGGAAUUCCGCGUGUAGCAGUGAAAUGCGUAGAUAUGCGGAGGAACACCGAUGGCGAAGGCAAUCCCCUGGACCUGUACUGACGCUCAUGCACGAAAGCGUGGGGAGCAAACAGGAUUAGAUACCCUGGUAGUCCACGCCCUAAACGAUGUCAACUGGUUGUUGGGUCUUCACUGACUCAGUAACGAAGCUAACGCGUGAAGUUGACCGCCUGGGGAGUCGGCCGCAAGGUUGAAGCUUAAAUGAAUUGACCGGNGUGAGAGNGCGAGGCGACGACGAGGGAGGAGG
RNAcentral lists this ribosomal RNA (618 nucleotides) under uncultured bacterium. Its description in RNAcentral is "bacterial SSU rRNA". It matches the Rfam family "Bacterial small subunit ribosomal RNA", at positions 338 to 951 of the family's 1533-position model. The record is from RNAcentral.